Molecule: long non-coding RNA, 1126 nt
Filed under: Vulpes vulpes (red fox)
Lineage: Eukaryota; Metazoa; Chordata; Mammalia; Carnivora; Canidae
Description: lncRNA (ENSVVUG00000026486.1)
Source: RNAcentral
UAACCACAGACUAACCCUGCUGACACUCUCAUCUUGGGCCAGAAUUAGAAGAAAAUAAUUUUCCGUUAUUUAAGCUACCCAGUCUAUGAUAUUCUACUGUGGCAGCCCUAGCAGAUGAAUACAGAGGCCAAGUAAGCAAAUUUGGUCUCUGUAUCACCAUUUAAACUGGAUUUACUAUACUCCUACUUUUUACAUAUUAGAAUUUUAUGUAAGAAUUCUUUCUUUUUAAAAAUAAAUGUCUUACUGUUAAAAAUUUAGUCAGGUAAAUAUAUUAUGUACCAAUUUAUUCAUGUAUUUAUAAUGGAAGCAUUUCUUCCUACUGGUCCCAUAUUGUGUCUCUAAUCAGAAUGCUUCCAUUGGGCUCCUUUUCUUGUCUUUCUGGACACACAGAUGGCCACACCAUUGAAACAUAAGUUACUCUGAUGACAGAAAGAAGAUACCACUCAUCUUUAUGAUUUCAUCUUGCCUAUGCUAUGGACUGAAUGGUUCAUUUGAUAAUAAGAUGAAGAAUAGAGCUUUGUCAACUAUAAAGCACCAUGAAAAAUUGAGAAUUAAUAUUUCUACCUUAUGCAUAUAUUCAAGAUGAUCCCUUACUUGGAGAUAAUGGCUCAGAGAGAUUAUUUAAAGAGAAAACCGGAAAUAUUUUGACAUUUUUUAUGUGUUGGGGAUGACAGGAAGCCAAAGAUGUUACAUUUUCAAGGUUAGUGAAUGUGAUUGUGAUGUAGUGAUGGUGUCAUACAUUGAAAAAAGGAUCAUAGGAAAAGAUGUUUUAUUUUGAAAUUGAGAUACAAUUCAUGUAACAAAAUUCAUCCUUUUAAACUACAAAAUUCAGUGGUUUUUGAUAUAUUCACAGAGUUGUGUAACCAUCACCCUAUCUACUUUAGAAUGUUUUCAUUACCCCAAAAGAAACUUCAUACCCAUUAGAGAUUAUUUCCCAUCUCCUUCUAUCCCAUUCCCUGGCAACCAUUAAUCUAUUUCUGUCUUGAUGGAUUUGAAUAUUCUGGAAAUUUCAUAUAAAUGGACCUUAUAAUUUCUGUCUGCUUCUUUCAUUUAGCAUCACCUUUUCAAAGUUCAUCUAUAUUAUACCAUGUGUCAGUAUUUCAUUCACUUUUAUGGCUGAGUAAUA